RNAcentral lists this ribosomal RNA (486 nucleotides) under uncultured bacterium. RNAcentral's name for it is "partial 16S ribosomal RNA". It matches the Rfam family "Bacterial small subunit ribosomal RNA", at positions 30 to 507 of the family's 1533-position model. The record is from RNAcentral.
AUUGAACGCUGGCGGCAUGCCUUACACAUGCAAGUCGAACGGCAGCACGGGUGCUUGCACCUGGUGGCGAGUGGCGAACGGGUGAGUAAUACAUCGGAACAUGUCCUGUAGUGGGGGAUAGCCCGGCGAAAGCCGGAUUAAUACCGCAUACGAUCUACGGAUUAAAGCGGGGGACCUUCGGGCCUCGCGCUAUAGGGUUGGCCGAUGGCUGAUUAGCUAGUUGGUGGGGUAAAGGCCUACCAAGGCGACGAUCAGUAGCUGGUCUGAGAGGACGACCAGCCACACUGGGACUGAGACACGGCCCAGACUCCUACGGGAGGCAGCAGUGGGGAAUUUUGGACAAUGGGCGAAAGCCUGAUCCAGCAAUGCCGCGUGUGUGAAGAAGGCCUUCGGGUUGCAAAGCACUUUUGUCCGGAAAGAAAUCCUUGGCCCUAAUACGGUCGGGGGAUGACGGUACCGGAAGAAUAAGCACCGGCUAACUACGUG